This 465-nucleotide ribosomal RNA is filed under the name uncultured bacterium. RNAcentral's name for it is "partial 16S ribosomal RNA". It matches the Rfam family "Bacterial small subunit ribosomal RNA", at positions 28 to 507 of the family's 1533-position model. The record is from RNAcentral.
GACGAACGCUGGCGGCGUGCUUAACACAUGCAAGUCGAACGGAAAGGCCCUGCUUGCAGGGUACUCGAGUGGCGAACGGGUGAGUAACACGUGGGUGAUUUGCCCUGCACUUCGGGAUAAGCCUGGGAAACUGGGUCUAAUACCGGAUAGGAGCCAUUUUUAGUGUGAUGGUUGGAAAGUUUUUUCGGUGUAGGAUGAGCUCGCGGCCUAUCAGCUUGUUGGUGGGGUAAUGGCCUACCAAGGCGGCGACGGGUAGCCGGCCUGAGAGGGUGGACGGCCACAUUGGGACUGAGGUACGGCCCAGACUCCUACGGGAGGCAGCAGUGGGGAAGCUUGCACAAUGGGCGCAAGCCUGGUGCAGCGACGCCGCGUGGGGGAUGACGGCCUUCGGGUUGUAAACUCCUUUCGCUAGGGACGAAGCUUUUUGUGACGGUACCUAGAUAAGAAGCACCGGCUAACUACGUG